GCCUCAGCCUCCCGAGUCCUGGGACUGCAGCCAGGUCACAGAGUCCAGACGCCUGGCGGGGACCACAGAGCACAGGAGAGCAGAGCAAGAGGGGCCAUCUGGAGACUUCACAGAGAACUGGGAUCCUGGCAAGAGACGGAGACACUCAGUUUCUUGUGCGGUCUUCCCUAGUCUCCAGAGUCCAGAGAGGCUUCCGCACCCCAACUCACCUUUGAGCACAGAGACAUCGUACACCCUCCAGUUCUGGUUUCCCCAGAUCUGAGACUGGCCUGUCUACUUGGAUCUGUGUCACCAAGAUGGUGGAGGAGCCUUCUGCGGGGCUGCGGAACCAGGGAACUGUAUAUAACUAGGCUCAUGGUGCCUCUGGGUCUCUCCAGGACUAAAAGCAAAGAGAAUUCAAACAAGCCCCGGUUUCAAGUCAUCCAGGUUGGCUUCAAAACCACUUUGGAGUUAGGGAUGACCUUGAACUCUGGACCCCCUACUUCUACCUCCCAAGGUGAGAAGAGGGGACAGGCAUGCAUCAU
This is a long non-coding RNA of Onychomys torridus (southern grasshopper mouse), 524 nucleotides long. RefSeq lists it as uncharacterized. The record is from RefSeq and is a predicted model, not a curated record. The transcript has 5 exons. Lineage: Eukaryota; Metazoa; Chordata; Mammalia; Rodentia; Cricetidae.